UUCUGGAAUCGUCUUGCUUAGCCCUCCAGAAGAGGCUAACAACCUCACCACACUAGUGAAAGACCUCCGAGCCAAAGACUUUUCAGAGACCCUUGCAAGUGUCACAAGAAAUAGAGACAAGCCUACCUUAAAACAACAUUUUAGGCACUCUCCAAAUCUUGGAGAUCUUACCCGAGUUGGUUUAUUACUCACAAACCCAUAACGGAUUAAGUCACCUACAUGUGCCGCAUUUAGGCUGACGACUCUCUAACCAUGAUGCCCUACAACACCAAAGCCAAUGCCUCGAGAAAAAAGGCUAGUGUUUGUCAAUGAAAAACCCAGGAGUGCCUCUCAAAAUCAGGAACUCCAUAGUCGAUACCAAGAUAAAGCACGUCAACCCUAACCAUACAAACACUAGCCACAACAAAAUGGACGAUGGCAAUGUCACCAUGAAAAUCAAACUAGAAGCACCAUAAUUUGAUGGUCAACAUGACCCCAAGGGGUUUCUUGAUUAACUUGAUGUACUUGAAGAAUAAUUUGAGUUCUCCAGCAUUAACAACACCCAGAGUGAAUAUUUUCCUAGAAUAAAGCUCAGAGGGUCUGUCCAAUGUUAUUGACAAUAAUGUCACAUCAAGCAUUUAGAUAGGACUCUAUGCCUUCUGGGCCAAAAAUAAAUCAAUGUUAAAAGAAAACUGAGUCUCCACCAAUCAUAGGGAUCAUUUACUAGAACUUAGAUCAAUUCUUCAACAAUAGACAAGGUUCUCCUACUAUAGUACAUGACUCAUUUUAAGUAAUAUUUCACUGAUAUCACCAUCUCUAGCUACAGGUUUCCUUAUUUCCCAUGAGACGGGCAUCAACACCCCCCCUCUAGGUAAGUCCUUUACAAGAGAAUUACGAAUGUCAUAUUCAUAACGCUACAUGGUAUAUCACCAACCGUGAGAGAUAUUGAGCAUGCCAUUAAUCCGGAAUAAAGAGUGCCUAACCCUCCCCAUUAUAGGGCGACAAAGAUGGGGAGAGCUAAGUUGAAAGCUAAAAGGUCUAUCAUAGUAGUCUUACCUCUUUUCUUGUGCUUAUUUUACUCCCUCCUAAAUAGUAUGGACCUAGAAGAAUGUGCAUGGAUAGUCAAUCCAUCAACAUAAUUAAUGUCUUUAGAUUGUAUUUGAUUUUUAUAUUAAGCCCCUAUUUGGUGGAGACUAAAAUCAAAUUUUUAAUAAAUUUUGAUAAAAGUUGAUGAAAUGUGUGGUUGAAAUGUUGUGGGUCCCAUAAAAUGUGUGACUAAAAUUAAUUGUUGAUAUUGACUUAAAUUAAAAUCUAAAUUUUAAUUUUCACCAAAUAGGGCUAAAUAUGUUUUU
This 1331-nucleotide long non-coding RNA is filed under the name Olea europaea (common olive). RNAcentral describes it as "long non-coding RNA (OEUR_LNC014606)". The record is from RNAcentral. Lineage: Eukaryota; Viridiplantae; Streptophyta; Magnoliopsida; Lamiales; Oleaceae.